This 484-nucleotide ribosomal RNA is filed under the name uncultured bacterium. RNAcentral describes it as "partial 16S ribosomal RNA". It matches the Rfam family "Bacterial small subunit ribosomal RNA", at positions 30 to 507 of the family's 1533-position model. The record is from RNAcentral.
AUUGAACGCUGGCGGCAGGCCUAACACAUGCAAGUCGAGCGGAUGAAGGGAGCUUGCUCCUGGAUUCAGCGGCGGACGGGUGAGUAAUGCCUAGGAAUCGGCCUGGUAGUGGGGGAUAACGUCCGGAAACGGGCGCUAAUACCGCAUACGUUCUGAGGGAGAAAGUGGGGGAUCUUCGGAGCUCACGCCAUCAGAUGAGCCCAGGUGGGAUUAGCUAGUUGGUGGGGUAAAGGCCGACCAAGGCGACGAUCCGUAACUGGUCUGAGAGGAUGAUCAGUCACACUGGACCUGAGCCACGGUCCAGACUCCUACGGGAGGCAGCAGUGGGGAAUAUUGGCCAAUGGGCGAAGGCCUGAUCCAGCCAUGCCGCGUGUGUGAAGAAGGUCUUCGGAUUGUAAAGCACUUUAAGUUGGGAGGAAGGGCAGUAAGUUAAUACCUUGCUGUUUUGACGUUACCAACAGAAUAAGCACCGGCUAACUUCGUG